CAGCAGCCGCGGUAAUACGAAGGGUGCAAGCGUUAAUCGGAAUUACUGGGCGUAAAGCGUGCGUAGGCGGUUUGUUAAGUCCGUUGUGAAAUCCCCGGGCUCAACCUGGGAAUGGCAAUGGAUACUGGCAAGCUAGAGUGUGUCAGAGGAUGGUGGAAUUCCCGGUGUAGCGGUGAAAUGCGUAGAGAUCGGGAGGAACAUCAGUGGCGAAGGCGGCCAUCUGGGACAACACUGACGCUGAGGCACGAAAGCGUGGGGAGCAAACAGGAUUAGAUACCCGAGUAGUCCCUGUCUCUUAUAC
Molecule: ribosomal RNA, 301 nt
Filed under: uncultured bacterium
Lineage: Bacteria
Description: partial 16S ribosomal RNA
Rfam family: Bacterial small subunit ribosomal RNA
Source: RNAcentral